RNAcentral lists this unclassified non-coding RNA (223 nucleotides) under plant metagenome. Its description in RNAcentral is "partial contains small subunit ribosomal RNA, internal transcribed spacer 1, and 5.8S ribosomal RNA". The record is from RNAcentral.
UCUCCGUCGGUGAACCAGCGGAGGGAUCAUUACCGAGUUAUCAACUCCCAAACCCCUGUGAACAUACCCAACGUUGCUUCGGCGGGACCGCCCCGGCGCCCUCGGCGUCCCGGAACCAGGCGCCCGCCGGAGGACCCAAACUCUUGUUUAAACCAUAGUGGCAUAUUCUGAGUCUCACAAGAAAAAUGAAUCAAAACUUUCAACAACGGAUCUCUUGGCUCUG